GAUGAACGCUGGCGGCGUGCCUAAAACAUGCAAGUCGUGCGGCAGCAUGCCCUUCGGGGUGAUGGCGAGCGGCGGACGGCUGAGUAACGCGUGGGAACGUGCCCCAAAGUGAGGGAUAACUGCCCGAAAGGGUGGCUAAUACCGCAUAUGGUCUCCGGAUUAAAGCUUCGGCGCUUUGGGAGCGGCCCGCGUAAGAUUAGAUAGUUGGUGGGGUAAGAGCUUACCAAGGCGACGAUCAGUAGCUGGUCUGAGAGGAUGAUCAGCCACACUGGAACUGAGACACGGUCCAGACUCCUACGAGAGGCAGCAGUUGGGAAUAUUGGACAAUGGGGGAAACCCUGAUCCAGCCAUGCCGCGUGUGUGAUGAAGGCCUUAGGGUUGUAAAGCACUUUCGGCUGUGAAGAUAAUGACAGUAGCAGAAGAAGAAGCUCCGGCUAAAUUCGUGCCAGCCGCCGCAGUAA
RNAcentral lists this ribosomal RNA (461 nucleotides) under uncultured bacterium. RNAcentral's name for it is "partial 16S ribosomal RNA". It matches the Rfam family "Bacterial small subunit ribosomal RNA", at positions 28 to 523 of the family's 1533-position model. The record is from RNAcentral.